AGUAAAAAGAGACUUUUAGUGUCUUUUGCGUUUGGUUUUGAACUUUCACUUGUUAAUAAUUUCCCCUUGAAGUUAUUAACAAAUGAAACUGCUCAAUGAGCAGCUGUGUCUAAUCGCAACUUUAACUUACUCAAGACAACUGACCAAAGCCACUCACCUACUUCGAAGUCCUCAAAAAUUUCAAUUUAGAACUGCAUAUGUUAGAUAUUUCGAAGGAUUCGAGGAACGUUGUGUGCUUUUGGUCAUUUGUUUUAAUUUAAGUCAAAUUUCUUAUAAAAUGCUUAAUUUUUCUUCGUACCUGCGACAUAGACAUAUAAACAUGUCUCAUUCUUACCGAGAAACCAUGGUGGCUGUCCUUCUACAUUAAGUAUAAAACAAGUGACUUCCAAUGGCAGUUCCUCUUUUAUAAUAUAAAAGAUAAUUGUAUAGUAAUCAAUUAAGGAAACCUCUUUUGUUCUUCUUAAUUGAUUCUGACUUGCCCACUUGGUUGGUCUUUUAUUAUUUCAUACAUUUGUAUUAAUUAAUUUAUUUUAUUAUUGUGUAAGUUUAACAUUAACGCGAAAUUCUUAUUUUUUUAAAUCGACUUUUUAUAAAAGGUGUAGCAGAUUAAAGUAAUUGCCUUUUGAAUUCCCUUUCCGAAUACAACAUAUUCGCAAAGAGUAUUUAGAGGGCAAUCUUUUCACCAUAAUUCACCUUAAUUAAAAAGUCGAUUUAAAAAAAUCAAAAUUUCGUGGCUUUAUUAGAAUUAAUGCUUUCAAUGCCUACGUAAAAAAAAUCGAAUUUUUUAAAGCAAACCGCAAAGGUAAUAUAAGUCGGUAUAAUUAUAAAUAAGCCUUGCUCCUUUAAGGGAAGUUUAUUUAUUUUUGUACCUAAAUAUAUUAUCGUUUGCAUUAAUAAACAUUCGAAGUGUUUUGCAAUGUACCUUUAGGUACUAAGUUUUUUAACAAAACAAAUCGUAUGUUGUUUAAGUAAAUACAUCGAAACAAUGUUAAUAAAUAGCAAAUAUUUGAACCGAUUCUAUUUUAUUUCGUCUAAUUUUGAUAAAAAAAAAAAGAUCGCAUUCAAUUUUUAUUUAGUACCAAGAAAUCACAUCAAAAACAGCGUGCGUAGAAAUUACUAAUGCAAUUUCGGAGCAUGUAGUGGCACUCACUGACGCGUGCGCCAUUUACAAUAUAACAAUUCCGCGAAACGAAGCGUGUUUUCGGCAGGUAAGAAAUUAAAUAUUCUUAAUUAAAAAUUUUUGCUGGAACUAAUGCAAUUGUCGGAAACUUAUCAUUAAAUAUAGCAGAAUACGAUGUGCGUAUUAGUUUUUCCGAGCAUUAACCUCUUUUCUUGGUAUUUUGAUAGUACCACCCCAAAUUAACAACGAGCUAUUUCUCAAAUUUUCUUUAAAAAAUGCGAUGAUUUCGUAUGAUUUGACCAAAUUUGUUAAACAAUCGACUUUUUACGAUAUUUUGACGUGAAUUAAGUCGUUUUUGUACUUUCAGAAAAUAUCUUUACGAGAUACAAGAAAAUUGAAAGUGGUUUGGGCCCCCUUUUUAUUAGUAUUAAGUCGUUGUACUACAUUGUCUGAACCAUUUUAACAACAUUACGAGUGAUGUUUAGAAACAUACAUCAUUUUUUGGAUAAAAAAAGGUUCUUUUACCAAAAUGGACAGGUUCGACUUGGAUCGAAAGGAAAUGGUUGAUGAUAUUUUAAUAAGCUAGUGAUCCCUUGGUCUCUCCUUCUAUAAUGUAAAAUAGCAAUGUUUGACUAUUUUUUGCAAUAACAUUAAGUUCAGAAUGACACACGAUUGAUAUCUAAUGAACCAAAAAGGGGAUUCCCAAAUUAUUAUGGACUUGGCAAGAUUUCAACAAAAGAGUUACAGUUGCAUCUAUAUAUGAAGACCAAGAAGAUAAUUCAAAAACGGAACUGUUAUGUAUUGGAAUCGAAUUUGUCCGUACGUCAUGUUGAUACUUUCGUGAAGAUUUGGUAUGUGAUAAUGACAGUGAUAGAAUGGCUUACUCGAUGGAUUUCCCCUCCGCUCAGUCUCUGGCACCUUCCUACCUUACCUACCUACCCUACCAUCCACCACCAUCAUUCAUCACGGAGAGGAUGAGGAUCGUGGACAUCCGACGCUGGAUAGAUUAAGGUUUCGGUGAACCCUACUGAGGUCUAGCCGACGCCUAAAAGUAAGUCACUAAUGAAUAUUGUUUCAAAUAGACCCGAGUGCAAGUUUUUAUAUUUCCAUUUGUAUUUGUAUUUUUUGAUUUUUAUUACUUUGGGGCUAAUUUGAUUUUUGCACCCAAUAAGGUGGCUUACAAACGGUAAGUUAGCGUAUUAUUGGGCUCCUCUGGUGGUCCAUUGCCAUAUUAUCCAAUUGAGUCGCUCCGCGUGCUAGGGACCGACGUGUGCAGGCACGGCGCCUGUAUUACGUCAAACUUUGAUUCUUAAUACUUGGAUUACUUAUGUGAUUAUUAGUUGCUGCCUUAGGUCCUUUACGCCGUAUUAUUAUCUACAAGACAUACCUACCUACCGUAUUUAUUGUUGCUUUUUAGGGAUGUGACGUUAGGACACGGAGAACAUUUAAAAUUGUGAUUACCUUAUUUCAAUGCAUACCUACAUACAUGGUGUUUUGUCCACGCUGUCUUUUCGGGGUUUGGUUCCACGUACACCUACAUAUACCAUAAAUAAUAUUAUUUACACUUUUAUUUUAUGUGUAUGUUUACUUGUCACUCAUUGGGUCUAUUUGAUAUUUUUUCAGCUAGUGUAUUUACAAUAGUGUAGUGAGGAAGGAGGAAGACAGCGAAAAGUGUUGCGCGUCAAGGUAUAGUGCAUUACCUAUACCUUCUUCUGGCAUAACAGUGGCGGCGGCUCGCGAAUCGGUUUAAGGUUGGCGCCAAUUCCAAUUUAUUUAAAUUCAUUAAAUUUUUAAUGUUGCCAGUAAAUUGUUCGUUUUUAAUAACUCAUUUGAUAUUUUGUGAAAUUUUAAUUUGAAAUUAAGGGGAAAAUGAAUAACGUCUCAUCUACCGCAUAAAUAUAGGUGAAAAUUUUUCGAAAGGAAAAAAUCGUAUUAUUCAUCUUCUCCUUAAUUUAGUAAAUUUUUAAAACUUCAAUUCAGGGUAUCUGCCGUUAUCACUUGGUGAAACAUGAUUGAAAAUUAAAAAUUAAGUCAAAAAAGGAGUAACAAAAACCAUACUAAUUAACAAACAGUAAAUAAAUUAAUUUAUAUAUUAGACCCAAACAUUGUUCAACCCCCACCCACCCUCUUAGGAAUAAAUCUCUAUAAAUUAAUUUAUUUCCUGUUUGUUAAUUAGUAUAGUUUUUGUUACUCCUGAAGAUACGUAUCGAGGUUUUAAUAAAGUUUUAAGUGAAAGUCCCAAGUUUUUUGAUUUAAUUUUUAAUUUUUAACUUCAAUUCAAUUGCCAUAAUUAAAUGUUAAUUGUAGGUACUAUUUUCCAAAUUUACUAUUUAUUUUUUUCUUUUGCGCUCGAGUACCUACCUACAGGUAGCCAGCCAGGUAAUAAGCGUUCGUCCAAUGGGCAUGUAGGAGUGAUUACUAAUUUUUAAUUUAGGUACUUGAUUUCUAUGAUGAUGAAUAAAAAAGAAACACUUUUAUGGAUUUUUCUCUAACGUGUAUUUCGGCUGUAAUGAUAUCAUCAAAGAGUUAAUAUUCUCAACUGGAGUUAUUAGCACUUUGACGAUGGAUAUUUUAGAGUGAAAUCUAAAAAAUAAUUUAGUGAAACAUAUAAACCAAGCAAGCAAGGUUUCUUUUUUAUUCAUCGUAUUCAUUCAUAGUAUUAAAAAGCGAUCGUCUUCGGCUUACCACAAUUUCGACUAUUACAUAAUGUCGUUCUCGUCCAACACGAAUUACGCCACUGUUGCCACCACAUUUACAAUGCUUAACGGCACACAGGAUUUCUUUUCAUAUUCCAUUCUCAAUUUACAUUUUGUCGUUUUAAUGUUUUUUUUCAAUUACGAAAUUUCAUUUAUUUUACUGCUGCACAUCUAAAAUCUUAGUUCUUUCAAAGCAAAUAUACAUGUCACAAAUUAGAAAUACAUAACUUUCGAAUUUUAUCACUGGGUGCCUACAUAAAUUUCGUUAAGCUUAAAAUCAAGGAGUGGGAAUAUAAGUAUGUUGGUAAUGAAGUAAGUACGUACUACCACCCUAUCAGUGGGUGGGGUAUCAAUAAUAUAUUAUAUGUUUUACCUUUUACUAAUCUUGUAUCUUCGAUUCUGUUUCAGCAUGACCGGUAAGUGAAGUACUUUACAUCCAACCAAAUAUCUUUUUAAACGAUGAUACUAACAAUUUUACCUAUUUUCUUUUUCAGGUUUCCGUGGGUCAAUCUUUCUCUUCUCGCUUGGGAAGAGAAAGAAGAACAUCGAUCGAUUAAAACAACCAAACAUGAUCACACAUAUCGUUAACAUCGCGAUCGAAGUGUAUCCGUCACGUUAUUGUUUAGUUGGGGUGUUCGUUGUUUGAUGAAAAUGUUUGUUCUCCAUCCACUUAAAAACUAUAAAUAUCUCCUUUUAAUAUUGUCGUGGUUCUGUUGUCUCGACUUCGUUUUCUCCACUCUUCUUCGUUAGAAAAUCAUAAUGAUUGAUAAGUAUCUGUCUUGGAGGCAACAGUCUGCUCAGUUCAAUACAAACUUGGUGGAGGGUCAAUUUUUUGCGGUAUUUGCGAUCCAUCCCAAUGAGACUUUUAGCGCAAUGGCAAGCGAAACCCACUACACCCAAAUGUUUCGUUAGUGGUUUUCCCUUUUCAUUUUUCGUGUCGUUUUUGGAUCGAGUGAAAUGCGGGUUGGUGUUAGUGUUAAUAGGAAGAAGAUUAAGAUUGGUGUCCGCAGAGACACCAUCGGGUAAAUAAACAGAAUGGGUAAAAUGUGCCUUCGGGCAUGUACAGGUACACGUUUGAGAGUAUGUUUUAGGAACAGGACGCAAAUAGAAUAGAUCCCUAAAGUUGUACGAUUACAGUUUAGAUGAUCGGGACGAGGAGGGUAAAAAAAUAGCACGUCGAAGAUAAAUUCCUACCUAUUAUGUAUGUUGGGGUUUUGAUUUUGGUGUAAGUGCUAAUAGGAAGAAGGCUAGUGUCAGCAGAGACACCAGGUCUAUAUAAGCGCAAGAAGUAAUGUGCCUUUGUGCAGGACAUGUUUGAUAGUAUGUUUUAGGAACCAGAAGGAAACAAAAACAUGGAGCUGUACGAUUAUGAUUUCCAACAUUAUUGGAGUCGCUGUUAACUCUAAUUUAUUUUGUGUCUUUUGCUUUAAGUUCUUUUCAGUCCCCGCACGAGGUAACCCUGUUACCGAAUAGUCCUUCGGACGCUAAGCAUCAUAUGUUGACGUUAGGGCUUGAGCUGUUUGUAUUUCAGAAACAUGGUACAUAGGUAUAGAUAUGGUUUGUAUUUGGCGAUAAAGUACCAAUACCAAGUUAUAUUACAGCCGGUGGGACGCAUUAAGCCGUUUGGUUGCUUGCUUCACCCACUGGGUGUUUUUAUUUCUUUUUAACUAACCUUUUGUCUUAGCAUCCAUUUCACAGGUACGAAAGACAUGUUGAGGCCCGCAAAACAGUUGAUGAGUUUGCGGGGGUGGUGGAGGGUCUCAACGCACUAGGAGGAGUUGGUGAUGUAGGUACGUCGUGUUUGUCAGGGUUCUAAAAUGUAGAGUUAUCAAGAAAACCAUCGUUUUGUAAGUCCCAUGUAUGCCAUUACCACUACCGUCCCAGGAGUGUCUCCACCAGUUGGGACGAUGACCAGGUUUACUUCAAUAAAUGGGAUGAAUUAUGAGAAAGGUACUACUACCUUCUUCAUUCACUGGUGGGUGUUCCUAAUUGUUUCUAAUUGCAACCUCUUCAUCCAGAAUCGAACGUGGAAUUAUGAGAGAAUGUGUUGAGGCCCGCAAAACAGUUGAUGAGUUUGCGGGGGUGGUGGGGGGUUCUCAACCAACCAGGAGGAGUGUUGGGGAUGUAGGUACGGUGGAACAUUUCACUACUCCGAACUUUUGUUCAUAAUUACGUCGUGUUUGUCAGGGUUCUAAAAUGUAGAGUUAUCAAGAAAAUCAUCGAUUUGUAAGUCCCAUGUAUGCCAUUACCACUACCGUCCCAGGAGUGUCUCCACCAGUUGGGAGGAUGAUCAGGUUUACUUCAAUGAAUGGGAUGAAUUAUGAGAAAGGUACUACUACCUUCUUCAUUCACCGGUGCGUGUUCCUAAUUGUUUCUAAUUGCAACCUCUUCAUCCAGAAUCGAACGUGGAAUUAUGAGAGAAUGUGUUGAGGCCCGCAAAACAGUUGAUGAGUUUGCGGGGGUGGUGGGGGGUUCUCAACCAACCAGGAGGAUUGUUGGGGAUGUAGGGUUCUAAAAUGUAGAGUUAACAAGAAAACCACUGAUUGACAAGUCCAAUGUAUAUUACCUUCCUAGGAAUACUUCCAGCAGUUUGAAAG
Molecule: long non-coding RNA, 6413 nt
Filed under: Agrilus planipennis (emerald ash borer)
Lineage: Eukaryota; Metazoa; Arthropoda; Insecta; Coleoptera; Buprestidae
Description: uncharacterized LOC108734537, transcript variant X1
Source: RNAcentral